UAGGAGGAGUCUGCUAGGGAGUGCCCUGCCUGGAAGGGCAAAGGGCUCUGUCUGCUAGCCUCAACCAACUGACAAGAGUCUCAGUCACCAGGCCUUGACUCUCUAAGAACAUAGAAAGUCCUAGGUCACUGCUUCCUCAUCCAUCACCCUCUAACAGAACCCAGAACCCCAUGCGGCAGGAGCACUGGGGGACACCCGGGUGGAGCCUUCCCUGGAGCAAGUACUGCAGGAGAGGGAUGAAGCCAUUGCUAAGAAGCGAGCGGUGGAAGAGGAGCUGGAUUCCUGUCGAGCCAGGUUGCGCACAGUGGAGGCUCAGCUGCUGGAGGUCCUGCAGGAGAAACUGAGGCUGAAACAGGAGGUGGAGGCCUGGGAGGAAGACAUGCAGCAGAUGGUUCGAGAGCGGGUGCAGAGUCAGCUGCAGGAAGAGUCCAGAGGCACGCUGGGCGCACGCGAGAACUCAAGCACGAGCAGGAGUUCCUGGAUCCAACUCUCCCAGAGUCAGUGGGGACGACGGUGGUGACAAUGGAUCCCGGGUGUUUAAGGGAACUGUCUUUAUUCAUUAAAGUGUUAGACCACCUCUGUA
Molecule: long non-coding RNA, 583 nt
Organism: Grammomys surdaster
Lineage: Eukaryota; Metazoa; Chordata; Mammalia; Rodentia; Muridae
Exons: 4
Source: RefSeq, a predicted model, not a curated record